This 305-nucleotide ribosomal RNA is filed under the name uncultured bacterium. Its description in RNAcentral is "bacterial SSU rRNA". It matches the Rfam family "Bacterial small subunit ribosomal RNA", at positions 335 to 640 of the family's 1533-position model. The record is from RNAcentral.
ACCUCGGGGGGCAGCAGUGAGGAAUAUUGGUCAAUGGGCGGGAGCCUGAACCAGCCAAGUCGCGUGAAGGAUGACGGCCCUACGGGUUGUAAACUUCUUUUGUCAGGGAGCAAUUGAGUCCACGUGUGGUCUUAGCGAGAGUACCUGAAGAAAAAGCAUCGGCUAACUCCGUGCCAGCAGCCGCGGUAAUGCGGAGGAUGCGAGCGUUAUCCGGAUUUAUUGGGUUUAAAGGGUGCGUAGGCGGAAUAUCAAGUCAGCGGUAAAAAUUCGGGGCUCAACCCCGUCGUGCCGUUGAACCUGAUGUU